UCCCUGGUGGUCCAGUGGUUAGGACUCCUCGCUUCCACUCCUGGGGGCACAGGUUCCAUCCCUGUUCAAGGAA
Non-coding RNA from Bos taurus (domestic cattle), 73 nucleotides. The record is from Rfam. NCBI's taxonomy places the organism in Eukaryota, Metazoa, Chordata, Mammalia, Artiodactyla, Bovidae.